CACCUGCCCAAAGCAGAACGACCCGUGAAUCGUCAAGACAUUUCGUUCAUCGGGAGAGCUUGCGUGCAGGAGACUGUCGCAUUGCCUCUCAUCGCGUGUUGUCCCCGUUCCCCUUAUGCGACCCUUCGGGCGUUGGGGUGGUGCGCGGGGCAAUUGCGUGCUUCAACCGAACAACGACCACCGGCGCAGUUUGCGCCAAGGAUUACUAGCGGAAUGGGCGAGCUCUCGUGGACAGAGCUCCUCACGGAGUGAUGUUGCGUGACCUCGUCGUGUCUCCGAUCAUUUGUACGACUCUCGGCAACGGAUAUCUCGGCUCUCGCAUCGAURAARAACGUAKCGAAAUGCGAUACUUGGKGUGAAUUGCASAAUCCCGUGAACCAUCGAGUCUUUGAACGCAAGUUGCGCCCGAGGCCGUCAGGUCGAGGGCACGCCUGCCUGGGCGUCACGCCUUACGUCGCUCUCAAACAAUUGUCCYCCUCGGGGAUGUCGAGUUGAGAUGCGGAGAUUGGCCACCCGCGCUCUGUUCGCGCGGCUGGCUCAAGAGCGGCCUUGCCGGUGCAGGGCGCGAUUAGUUGUGGAUGAUAGAAGCUACAUUUCGGUGAUCGCGUCCUGCGACCGUCUUUGGACCUUACCUGAUGUCG
This 641-nucleotide ribosomal RNA is filed under the name Sarcandra glabra. Its description in RNAcentral is "eukaryotic LSU rRNA". The stretch from base 290 to 445 matches the Rfam family "5.8S ribosomal RNA". The record is from RNAcentral. Lineage: Eukaryota; Viridiplantae; Streptophyta; Magnoliopsida; Chloranthales; Chloranthaceae.